RNAcentral lists this ribosomal RNA (471 nucleotides) under Triticum aestivum (bread wheat). Its description in RNAcentral is "partial small subunit ribosomal RNA". The record is from RNAcentral. Lineage: Eukaryota; Viridiplantae; Streptophyta; Magnoliopsida; Poales; Poaceae.
AUGGCGGGUGGCGGCGCUCCGGCGGCUCCUGGCGCGUGGAUCCGGCGGGCGGGGAUGCGGACUGCGGCUCCUGGCUGCUCGACGAGACCCCUCCCGGCGAUGCUGCGGCUGCAGUGGGUUGCUCGGGCUUUGGCCCGGCAGCCCUGCUCGGCGGGAUGGGGUGGGGUGGCGGCCCCCCUCCCGGCUUGGUGCUAUGGAGCUGGUCGGCUUGCUAGCCCUGCGUGGCUGGCAGCGUGGUGGCGUGGCGGCGGGGCCAGGCCGGUGGUCCAGCCACUUCUCUCUUUCCUGCCAGAUCCAAGUCAGGGGCGGCUAGGUGCUAGCAUAUUCUUGAUUUCAUCUGUCAUCAUCAGCAACUGUGGAUCGAUAACUGGGGGAGCGACCCUUUCCCAAAAAUGGCGAACAGCUAUAUGGCCAUAUCUUCCUGGCAUUCAUGGUUUUUGCCAUCAACUCAUCAUCCACCAUGAUCUUUAG